CCGAACACGAGUAUGUCAUUGACCGCGAAAGAGAAUUCCACGCUAUCAAGUACCUUUUGGCUGCAGGAUUUGGUGCGAAGUUGCUCGCGGUUUUUGGGAAUGGCAUGGUUCAGUCAUUUAUAAAUGCUCGUACACUCACUACAGAAGGUAUG
Eucalyptus grandis is the source of this 152-nucleotide long non-coding RNA. RefSeq lists it as uncharacterized. Lineage: Eukaryota; Viridiplantae; Streptophyta; Magnoliopsida; Myrtales; Myrtaceae. The transcript is spliced from 2 exons. The record is from RefSeq and is a predicted model, not a curated record.